UACGGAGGGUGCAAGCGUUAAUCGGAAUUACUGGGCGUAAAGCGCACGCAGGCGGUUUGUCAAGUCGGAUGUGAAAUCCCCGGGCUUAACCUGGGAACUGCAUUCGAAACUGGCAAGCUAGAGUCUCGUAGAGGAGGGUAGAAUUCCAGGUGUAGCGGUGAAAUGCGUAGAGAUCUGGAGGAAUACCGGUGGCGAAGGCGGCCCCCUGGACGAAGACUGACGCUCAGGCGCGAAAGCGUGGGGAGCAAACAGG
RNAcentral lists this ribosomal RNA (253 nucleotides) under uncultured bacterium. RNAcentral describes it as "partial 16S ribosomal RNA". It matches the Rfam family "Bacterial small subunit ribosomal RNA", at positions 524 to 776 of the family's 1533-position model. The record is from RNAcentral.